GUAGGUGAACCUGCAGAUGGAUCAUUUU
This 28-nucleotide ribosomal RNA is filed under the name Pseudozyma prolifica. RNAcentral describes it as "partial 18S ribosomal RNA". The record is from RNAcentral. Lineage: Eukaryota; Fungi; Basidiomycota; Ustilaginomycetes; Ustilaginales; Ustilaginaceae.